UUGCUAUUGAAGCACCGACGGUGGUGAUUCUUCGCCUUGAAAAUUCAAAGUUUGGGGAAAGUCUCUUUACUUUUCGCGGAAGAUACAUGGUAGACUUGCUUAUUGCCCUUUU
This 112-nucleotide non-coding RNA is filed under the name Thalassionema frauenfeldii. Lineage: Eukaryota; Bacillariophyta; Fragilariophyceae; Thalassionematales; Thalassionemataceae. The record is from RNAcentral.